RNAcentral lists this ribosomal RNA (918 nucleotides) under uncultured archaeon A148. RNAcentral's name for it is "bacterial SSU rRNA". It matches the Rfam family "Archaeal small subunit ribosomal RNA", at positions 1 to 921 of the family's 1478-position model. The record is from RNAcentral.
UUCCGGUUGAUCCUGCCGGAGGCCAUUGCUAUCGGAGUCCGAUUUAGCCAUGCUAGUUGUGCGGGUUUAGACCCGCAGCGGAAAGCUCAGUAACACGUGGCCAAACUACCCUGUGGAUGGGAACAAUCUCGGGAAACUGAGGCUAAUUCCCAAUAACGCUCCACCCCUGGAACGGGCGGAGCUGGAAACGCUACGGCGCCACAGGAUGUGGCUGCGGUCGAUUAGGUAGACGGUGGGGUAACGGCCCACCGUGCCAAUAAUCGGUACGGGUUGUGAGAGCAAGAGCCCGGAGACGGAAUCUGAGACAAGAUUCCGGGCCCUACGGGGCGCAGCAGGCGCGAAACCUUUACACUGUACGCAAGUGCGAUAAGGGGACUCCGAGUGUGAAGGCAUAGAGCCUUCACCUUUGUACACCGUAAGGUGGUGUACGAAUAAGGGCUGGGCAAGACCGGUGCCAGCCGCCGCGGUAAUACCGGCAGCCCGAGUGAUGRCCGAUAUUAUUGGGCCUAAAGCGUCCGUAGCUGGCCGGACAAGUCCGUUGGGAAAUCUGUUCGCUUAACGAGCAGGCGUCCAGCGGAAACUGUUCGGCUUGGGACCGGAAGACCUGAGGGGUACGUCCGGGGUAGGAGUGAAAUCCUGUAAUCCUGGACGGACCACCGGUGGCGAAAGCGCCUCAGGAGGACGGAUCCGACAGUGAGGGACGAAAGCUAGGGUCUCGAACCGGAUUAGAUACCCGGGUAGUCCUAGCUGUAAACGAUGCCCGCUAGGUGUGGCGCAGGCUACGAGCCUGCGCUGUGCCGUAGGGAAGCCGAGAAGCGGGCCGCCUGGGAAGUACGUCUGCAAGGAUGAAACUUAAAGGAAUUGGCGGGGGAGCACUACAACCGGAGGAGCCUGCGGUUUAAUUGGAUUCAACGCCGG